CUUCCGGGCCUCAGGAAAAAGGCAGAAAUGGAGGAGAGAGAAAAAAGGAACAUCCUUCCCGCCUGCUAGUGGAGUAGAUCCCAGGGGUUGGUUGUUAUCUUUGGUUAUCUAGCUGUAUGAGUGGGGUCAAGUCUUCAUAAAGCUAGAUAACCGAAAGUAAAAAUAACCCCAUUACACGCCUGGGGAGGAGGAAGACAAGGAGGAGGAAGGCCACCGAAAGCAAGCAAGCAAGGAAAUGCCACCAUUUUAACAAAAGAAGUUUUUGAACAGAAUGGCUGGCAAGGAUGGAUUGAAAAACCAGUCCUUGAGGAUGAAAGAAAUCAACCGAAUGGAAGAGAUGGAGGAAAGAGAGAAGACAAAGACGAUUCACAGCAAUCGAGAAAUUAGAGCCACAUUGAAUGACCACAGGAGCGAAGUUCACAGCCUCUGCUUCAUGGGCUUUCUGUUUUUGCUGCUGUGGGCCACGUCCUUCUCUGGCGUGGCAAAGCAAGGCAGGUGAGAGGAGGAAGAAGAAGAGGAAGAAGAAGAAGGACAGGAAGAAGGCGGUGGUCUCACUCUCUGCCAUCCGAACGACCGGGCUGUGCCAAUGCAGGAGUGCCAGGAGAAGAAAGUCAUUUCCCCUGCAAAUCAAGCGACAACGGUGGGAAAGGACAUGUUCCUGCCAGGAUCUAACCAUCUCCAGCGCCUGGGGCAUCUGACUCCUCUGGGGGCGCAGAACCUACAAGACUGCAUUAAAGCGCCAGAUGUGAGAUGAGGAAAGCUGGAGGGGCACCCCUUCUAUCCCAGGCUAUUUUGGAAAGUUUCCUGUAUGGCGGAUCAAGCGGAGAGAUGUCACUGCUGUCCUUUCAGGCUGGAGACUGGGAUUUGAACCCUGGUCUCCUGAGCUCUCAGCCACCGGUCAGUCAACUCUGCCACCUUCUCUCCACUGUGACCCCCCCCCCAGGGGCCAAGUCGGGUUACAAAAAACUGCAAAGCUGGAAGGCCUUCCCAGGGAUCAUCCUUGCAGAGGGAGGCCAUCCACAGCCAUCCCUAGUGGAGGGCCCCCCAACCUGCGUGUGGGGAGGCCCCCCACGGAGCAACCUCUCCACCUGGACACUCAUUGGGGUCAGGUCCAUGUCGUCGGGAGGCAGGCGUGCAAUCCCAAGAUGCCAACAGCUCCCUUUUAUUCCUGGGGGGGGGGGGAAGGAACAGGAUGUCAGUGUGUGGACAUCCUGCCUCCAUCAGCCUCCACACUUUGGGACCCACGGAGGCCCCUUGUCCUUCCCCCACCACCUCCAAUUGUGCCUUUACCUGCUAUCGUAUUAUUAGCUGAUGGGCGUCUCCAUUAUACACCUGUGUCCCAUUUUAAAAAAAAUACAUAAAAAUAAAAAAUCAACAUGACUCCUUGGGGCGGCUUCA
This 1398-nucleotide long non-coding RNA is filed under the name Pogona vitticeps (central bearded dragon). Its description in RNAcentral is "lncRNA (ENSPVIG00000016974.1)". The stretch from base 89 to 166 matches the Rfam family "mir-9/mir-79 microRNA precursor family". The record is from RNAcentral. Lineage: Eukaryota; Metazoa; Chordata; Lepidosauria; Squamata; Agamidae.